GAUGAAGAACGCAGUGAAAUGCGAUAAGUAGUGUGAAUUGCAGAAUUCAGUGAAUCAUCGAAUCUUUGAACGCACAUUGCGCCCUUUGGUAUUCCUUAGGGCAUGCCUGUUCGAGCGUCAUUUAAACCUUCAAGCUCAGCUUGGUGAUGGGCGACUGUCCCCCCCCCUCGCGGGGGGGACUCGCCUCAAAAACAUUGGCGGCCGGUACAUUGGCUUCGAGCGCAGCAGAAACGCGGUCUCGAGCCCGGUGGAUCGGCUCCCAUAAGCCUAUUCUUUUAUUUUGACCUCGGAUCAGGUAGGGAUACCCGCUGAACUUAAGCAUAUCAAAAGGGAGGA
This 336-nucleotide unclassified non-coding RNA is filed under the name soil metagenome. RNAcentral describes it as "partial contains 5.8S ribosomal RNA, internal transcribed spacer 2, and large subunit ribosomal RNA". The stretch from base 1 to 120 matches the Rfam family "5.8S ribosomal RNA", at positions 35 to 154 of the family's 154-position model. The record is from RNAcentral.